GGCUGAAAUCUUAGGCAAAUCCGGGAUUUCAAGGCCGAGAGCUGAUGACGAGUUGCCUUUAGGNGACGAAGUGGUUGAUACCAUGCUUCCAAGAAAAGCUCCUAAGCUUCAGAUAACUGGGAACCGUACCCCAAACCGACACAGGUGGUUAGGUAGAGAAUACCAAGGCGCUUGAGAGAACUCGGGUGAAGGAACUAGGCAAAAUGGCACCGUAACUUCGGGAGAAGGUGCGCCGGCGAGGGUGAAGGACUUGCUCCGUAAGCCCAUGCCGGUCGAAGAUACCAGGCCGCUGCGACUGUUUAUUAAAAACACAGCACUCUGCAAACACGAAAGUGGACGUAUAGGGUGUGACGCCUGCCCGGUGCCGGAAGGUUAAUUGAUGGGGUUAGCGCAAGCGAAGCUCUUGAUCGAAGCCCCGGUAAACGGCGGCCGUAACUAUAACGGUCCUAAGGUAGCGAAAUUCCUUGUCGGGUAAGUUCCGACCUGCACGAAUGGCGUAACGAUGGCGGCGCUGUCUCCACCCGAGACUCAGUGAAAUUGAAAUCGCUGUGAAGAUGCAGUGUAUCCGCGGCUAGACGGAAAGACCCCGUGAACCUUUACUAUAGCUUUGCACUGGACUUUGAAUUUGCUUGUGUAGGAUAGGUGGGAGGCUUUGAAGUGGGGACGCCAGUUCUCAUGGAGCCAUCCUUGAAAUACCACCCUGGCAACUUUGAGGUUCUAACUCAGGUCCGUUAUCCGGAUCGAGGACAGUGUAUGGUGGGUAGUUUGACUGGGGCGGUCUCCUCCCAAAGAGUAACGGAGGAGUACGAAGGUGCGCUCAGACCGGUCGGAAAUCGGUCGUAGAGUAUAAAGGCAAAAGCGCGCUUGACUGCGAGACAAACACGUCGAGCAGGUACGAAAGUAGGUCUUAGUGAUCCGGUGGUUCUGUAUGGAAGGGCCAUCGCUCAACGGAUAAAAGGUACUCCGGGGAUAACAGGCUGAUACCGCCCAAGAGUUCAUAUCGACGGCGGUGUUUGGCACCUCGAUGUCGGCUCAUCACAUCCUGGGGCUGAAGCCGGUCCCAAGGGUAUGGCUGUUCGCCAUUUAAAGUGGUACGCGAGCUGGGUUUAGAACGUCGUGAGACAGUUCGGUCCCUAUCUGCCGUGGACGUUUGAGAUUUGAGAGGGGCUGCUCCUAGUACGAGAGGACCGGAGUGGACGAACCUCUGGUGUUCCGGUUGUCACGCCAGUGGCAUUGCCGGGUAGCUAUGUUCGGAAGAGAUAACCGCUGAAAGCAUCUAAGCGGGAAACUUGCCUCAAGAUGAGAUCUCACUGGGAUCUUGAAUCCCCUAAAGGGCCGUCGAAGACUACGACGUUGAUAGGUUGGGUGUGUAAGCGCUGUGAGGCGUUGAGCUAACCAAUACUAAUUGCCCGUGAGGCUUGACCAU
This 1426-nucleotide ribosomal RNA is filed under the name Pseudomonas sp. JV551A1. RNAcentral describes it as "ribosomal RNA 23s_rRNA". It matches the Rfam family "Bacterial large subunit ribosomal RNA", at positions 1523 to 2925 of the family's 2925-position model. Lineage: Bacteria; Pseudomonadati; Pseudomonadota; Gammaproteobacteria; Pseudomonadales; Pseudomonadaceae. The record is from RNAcentral.